This 244-nucleotide ribosomal RNA is filed under the name uncultured bacterium. Its description in RNAcentral is "partial small subunit ribosomal RNA". It matches the Rfam family "Bacterial small subunit ribosomal RNA", at positions 26 to 285 of the family's 1533-position model. The record is from RNAcentral.
AGAAUCAACGCUGGCGGCGUGCCUAACACAUGCAAGUCGAACGAGAAAGGGACUUCGGUCCUGAGUAAAGUGGCGCACGGGUGAGUAACACGUGACUAACCUACCCUUGAGUGGGGAAUAACUUCGAGAAAUCGAGGCUAAUUCCGCAUAAUACCUACGGGUCAAAGGAGCAAUUCGCUUAAGGAGGGGUCGCGGCAGAUUAGCUAGUUGGCGGGGUAAUGGCCCACCAAGGCUUUGAUCUGUA